CCUACGGGAGGCAGCAGUGAGGAAUAUUGGUCAAUGGGCGGGAGCCUGAACCAGCCAAGUCGCGUGAGGGAUGACGGUCCUAUGGGCUUUAAACCCCUUUUGCCGGGGAGCAAAGUGCCGCACGUGUGCGGUUUGGAGAGUACCCGGAGAAAAAGCAUCGGCUAACUCCGGACCAGCAGCCGCGGUAAUAGGGGGGAUGCGAUGGUUACCCGGAUUGAUUGGGUUUAACGGGUGCGUAGGCGGACGCGUAAGUCAGCGGUAAAAUUGCGGGGUUAAACCGCGUCGAGCCGUUGAAACUGGGUGCCUUGAGUGGGCGAGAAGUACGCGGAAUGCGUGGUGUAGCGGUGAAAUGCAUAGAUAUCACGAAGAACUUCGAUUGCGAAGGCAGCGUACCGGCGCCCAACUGACGCUGAGGCACGAAGGCGUGGGUAGCGAACAGGAUUAGAUACCCCAGUAGUC
This 459-nucleotide ribosomal RNA is filed under the name uncultured bacterium. RNAcentral describes it as "partial 16S ribosomal RNA". It matches the Rfam family "Bacterial small subunit ribosomal RNA", at positions 338 to 795 of the family's 1533-position model. The record is from RNAcentral.